Paramuricea clavata is the source of this 767-nucleotide non-coding RNA. The record is from the annotation of a GenBank genome assembly. NCBI's taxonomy places the organism in Eukaryota, Metazoa, Cnidaria, Anthozoa, Malacalcyonacea, Plexauridae.
CAUAACUUCACACUGGGUAACAAUUGGGUGACCAGCUUCAGAGUCACGUACGGUCUUGAUGGAGUAACGUGGAUACCUUACACCAGAAAAGAUUUCCCACAAGAAAAGGUAACAUCGAAAUGAAUGAUUUAUAGACUAAUUUUUAAACUAGGCAAGGAGAUGCAAAUAAAUCACCACAGCUAGAAAGAGCAUACUAAAAUAAGUAAAAUUGCAAAGUUUGGUUGCGAAAUGUUGUAAAAUGCGGAAAAUAUAGCCUUGCAAAAUUUCCAAAUUUUGUAUACUUUUGUAUUGCGCGCGGAAAUUCCUACCAUUUUCGACCCAAAUGUGCUAGCAAUUUCCGCACGCAAUACAAAAGUAUAAAAAAUUUGCGAACUUUGCAAGGCUAUAUUUUCCGCAUUUUACAACAUUUCGCAACCAAACGUUGCAAUUUUACUAAUUUUAGUACGUUCUUUCUAGCUGUGGUGAUUUAUUUGCAUCUCCUUGCCUAUAGUUUCAAAAUUAGUCUAUAAGGGGAAUUGUGUAAUUAAUUAGGCUAUAUAGCUCGGUGUUUUUAGGGUGGGGUUCGAUCUUACACUAUCGAGUCUUCUAAUAUUCUUGAUAUAUUUGUUGAUAAAGGAAAUCUUCCUUGGGGCAGACGACAAAGCGACUGAAGUCAUCAGGAUCUUGGAUCGACCAGUCGUGGCGAGAUUUCUCAGAAUUCAUCCGUUAUCCUGGAAUGCUCUUCAAAUAUGUUUGAGGAUUGAAAUUUAUGGCUGUAGUGUUCAAGG